GCCUCUUUAGCUUAGUUGGUAGAGCACCCGCUCAGUAAGCGGGAGGUCGUGGGUUCGAAUCCCACAGGAGGCU
The sequence is a transfer RNA, 73 nucleotides long. It matches the Rfam family "tRNA". From Rfam's summary of the family: Transfer RNA (tRNA) molecules are approximately 80 nucleotides in length. Their secondary structure includes four short double-helical elements and three loops (D, anti-codon, and T loops). Further hydrogen bonds mediate the characteristic L-shaped molecular structure. tRNAs have two regions of fundamental functional importance: the anti-codon, which is responsible for specific mRNA codon recognition, and the 3' end, to which the tRNAs corresponding amino acid is attached (by aminoacyl-tRNA synthetases). tRNAs cope with the degeneracy of the genetic code in two manners: having more than one tRNA (with a specific anti-codon) for a particular amino acid; and 'wobble' base-pairing, i.e. permitting non-standard base-pairing at the 3rd anti-codon position. The record is from Rfam.